UAUAUCGGAACGUGCCCAGUCGUGGGGGAUAACGUAGCGAAAGCUACGCUAAUACCGCAUACGAUCUAUGGAUGAAANCGGGGGAUCGCAAGACCUCGCGCGAUUGGAGCGGCCGAUAUCAGAUUAGGUAGUUGGUGAGGUAAAGGCUCACCAAGCCGACGAUCUGUAGCUGGUCUGAGAGGACGACCAGCCACACUGGGACUGAGACACGGCCCAGACUCCUACGGGAGGCAGCAGUGGGGAAUUUUGGACAAUGGGCGCAAGCCUGAUCCAGCAAUGCCGCGUGCAGGAUGAAGGCCUUCGGGUUGUAACUGCUUUGUACGGAACGAAACGGUGAGCUCUAAUACAGUUUGCUAAUGACGGUACCGUAAGAAUAAGCACCGGCUAACUACGUG
This 395-nucleotide ribosomal RNA is filed under the name uncultured bacterium. RNAcentral describes it as "bacterial SSU rRNA". It matches the Rfam family "Bacterial small subunit ribosomal RNA", at positions 114 to 507 of the family's 1533-position model. The record is from RNAcentral.